UUGUGCAGCAAAUCAAAGACAAUCAGAGCCCACUUGUUACAUACCUUCUGGAAGUGGCAAAACUUCAAUGGCAGCUACAAUUGGUAUAGAGAGUGAUUUCCCAUAUGUCAAGAUGAAAGCAUGAUUGGUCUCGGUGAAGCAACUAAAUGUGCACAAAUUGUCAAGGCAUGCAGUAGUGAUGAAGAUGGUUUGCUUGGUUUUGACGUACAUAGUGAUGGCCAUGGCCAAAGGCAACUAACUGUUCUAGCAAGAGAUGAGCGAAUGGAGAUCACCUCAAGCAUGAAUGGUGCUCCUCUGUUCCCUCCAAAGAAGAAAUAUUUUUCUUGUAUCGAAAUGAAUGGU
Molecule: long non-coding RNA, 342 nt
Organism: Zingiber officinale
Lineage: Eukaryota; Viridiplantae; Streptophyta; Magnoliopsida; Zingiberales; Zingiberaceae
Exons: 5
Source: RefSeq, a predicted model, not a curated record